UACAGAGGGUGCGAGCGUUGUCCGGAAUCACUGGGCGUAAAGGGCGCGUAGGCGGUUCCCUAAGUGUGUGGUGAAAGCUCGGGGCUCAACCCCGAGUCGGCCGUGCAAACUGGGGGACUCGAGCAUGUCAGAGGCAGGCGGAAUUCCGGGUGUAGCGGUGAAAUGCGUAGAUAUCAGGAGGAACACCGGCGGUGUAGACGGCUUUCUGGACCGUAGCUGACGCUGAGACACGAAAGCGUGGGUAGCAAACAGG
RNAcentral lists this ribosomal RNA (253 nucleotides) under uncultured bacterium. RNAcentral describes it as "partial 16S ribosomal RNA". It matches the Rfam family "Bacterial small subunit ribosomal RNA", at positions 524 to 776 of the family's 1533-position model. The record is from RNAcentral.